Molecule: ribosomal RNA, 641 nt
Filed under: Salmonella enterica
Lineage: Bacteria; Pseudomonadati; Pseudomonadota; Gammaproteobacteria; Enterobacterales; Enterobacteriaceae
Description: partial 23S ribosomal RNA
Rfam family: Bacterial large subunit ribosomal RNA
Source: RNAcentral
GUCUGGAAAGGCGCGCGAUACAGGGUGACAGCCCCGUACACAAAAGCGCAUGUGCUGUGAGCUCGAUGAGUAGGGCGGGACACGUGGUAUCCUGUCUGAAUAUGGGGGGACCAUCCUCCAAGGCUAAAUACUCCUGACUGACCGAUAGUGAACCAGUACCGUGAGGGAAAGGCGAAAAGAACCCCGGCGAGGGGAGUGAAAAAGAACCUGAAACCGUGUACGUACAAGCAGUGGGAGCACAGGUUUACCUGUGUGACUGCGUACCUUUUGUAUAAUGGGUCAGCGACUUAUAUUCUGUAGCAAGGUUAACCGUAUAGGGGAGCCGGAGGGAAACCGAGUCUUAACCGGGCGUUAAGUUGCAGGGUAUAGACCCGAAACCCGGUGAUCUAGCCAUGGGCAGGUUGAAGGUUGGGUAACACUAACUGGAGGACCGAACCGACUAAUGUUGAAAAAUUAGCGGAUGACCUGUGGCUGGGGGUGAAAGGCCAAUCAAACCGGGAGAUAGCUGGUUCUCCCCGAAAGCUAUUUAGGUAGCGCCUCGUGAAUUCAUCUCCGGGGGUAGAGCACUGUUUCGGCUAGGGGGCCAUCCCGGCUUACCAACCCGAUGCAAACUGCGAAUACCGGAGAAUGUUAUCACGGGA